This is a long non-coding RNA of Homo sapiens (human), 1004 nucleotides long. Ensembl annotates it as placenta enriched 4. Its record names the gene PLAC4. The record is from Ensembl. Lineage: Eukaryota; Metazoa; Chordata; Mammalia; Primates; Hominidae.
GCUACUCAGGGCACACAGCCUAUGGAGCAGCCCUGAUCUGCAAGGAGCGGCAUCUCUGGCGCUGCUGUGCACAGCUGCUUCCAUGAAAGCUGCUGCCUAACACCACCAGCUCACCCUUGAAUCUUUGGGCAAAUCCAAGAACUCUCCCAGGCUAAGCCCCAGUCUUGGGGCUUGCCUGUCCUGCAUCAUCUGGCAACCAGCAAAGGGACAAGGACAGCGGAGAUGGUGGCAAUUGGCAGAGAGGCAAGACAGCAGAGACAGAGAGGCAGCAAUUGGUGAGAGACAAGAGACAGCAGUUGGCAAGACAGCAAGAGACGGUGAAGCAGUCUGUGAUUGAGGAUGUGGUGAAACUGAGUGGACAGCCAAGUGUCCAUAGUACAGCUGCCUCGUGUGGGACCCACUGCUCUAACGAGCCAGCCCCCGACACAGAAGCUGAGCACCCCCAAGCUGGGGAACCUAGAGAGACCUGCACCCGGGUCCCACGUGGAAGACUGGCUGGUGCCAUUUUGUCUUCUGUGGAUGGGUGAGAGUCCCCUUUGCACCCUCCCCCAGUAAUAUCAGAUUACCACAGUUCCAGAGACAAUGCUGGCACAAGGCUUCCAGCCCAUCCUGUCCACUGACACGGAGAAUGAAAUCGUCCUGCCUCUGGGCUCCUUAGAUCAGACUGGAAAUCUCAAAAACACACGUUCAGCACCAAGAUUUUCAGCAGCACCGCCUCAGAAUGAGACCCCUAGAAAAAACUGCGUGUUUUCCACUUGCCCAACACGAGGAGUUUUUGGAACACGACCUGCUUGAGGUGGAGAUUUUCUAGAUGGGCAAAGAGAAGGAAACACUUAACCUAGGAAGAGUAUUUAGGAAGAAGAAAGAACACAGCCUUUCUGCACAGGAAACCGCCGAGCAGAGGGGCAUCUGGCCUCUGCAGUGGCCUCCAAAUAGAGUCCAAUGGCUGGGGCCAGCGUGGCUGCUUAAAGGGGACUCAAGGGAUAUAAUAAAAUGCAGAUUCU